GUGAGCUGCAGAACGACGCAGAGACUCGUGCAGAAUUCGUUAAAGGCUGUCUUGUGUUUAUUGAGUUUUUUUUUCACAUGUUGGACUGCAAACUGUUCUCAUUUUAUGUCGCUUUUGAAUGGGCCUAUAUGAAUGUUUACAACAGACGGAGCGUGUUUCUCCACUGCAAAAAGUGAGUUGCUGUGUUAGUUAGCUGCCGAGACGUCGGGUCUUCCUCUGUGCAGACGACCGGAAGCUGUGGACGUGCGGAGCUCCAGCUGAUGUUGCCGGUGAGAGCCCCAAAUCAAGGACGGUCAUCUGUAUCCCUGGCGGGUGUUUGGACCUUGCUGUUCAUCGUUGCUGUGCUGCUGCAGAUUGAGAAACACAAGAGGGACUUCAACAAGUUCAUACCUGUUGCCUCCACCAUGCCUUCAAGGAUCACCACAAUCUCAAACUCCUCCUUCUCAAUUUGAGCCAUCGACAUCUCCCAGAAAGGGCUCUUCUCAUUGAUCUCGUGAGAGAUGAUAAGUGGCGACACCAGGAACAGCCGGUCGUCUCCCGUGUCAAAGCCGAUGUUUAUGUCAGUCUGGUUGAGUGGGAUGAACUCCCCCUCCUUGGUCUGCUGUGAGCGGAUCAGCUUUGCUCUGAUCGAUGCUUCCACGAUGUGAGAGUUCCUCAGGUCCCCUACCCUAAACAUCAGGCACAUCUUGUUGUCUCGCACUGAUAUGACAGCUUUGUGCGAGAACAUCAGGGUCUCGGCGCGGUUCUUUGGCUGUGAGAUCUUGACGAACAUGCAUCCAACCAUCAUUGCAUUCACAAUGGAACCCAAGAUGGCCUGCACCAAAAGUAGUAUGAUGCCUUCUGGACAUUUUUCUGUGAUUACUCGAUAACCGUACCCAAUGGUGGUCUCUGUUUCGAUGGAGAAGAGGAAGGCUGAGACAAAACUGUUUAGGUUCUCCACACAGGGGGUCCAGCCCUCCUCAUCUGCAUGCAGAAGAUCCCCACGGAUUAGUGCAAUCAGCCACCACAGGAAGCCAAAGAAAAGCCAGUUGACUACAUAGACCAAGGUGAAUAUGAAGAGACUAAGUCGCCAUCGAAGAUCCACCAGCGUGGUGAACAAGUCACUGAGGUAACGGUAGGUCUCUUGCACAUUUCCGUGAUGAACGUUGCACUUGCCGUCCUUCUGCACAUAUCGCUGACGUGGCUUCUUUGCCGGGUCGGAAAUCAAGUGGGUUCGCUCUGUUGAGAUCUGAGCCUCCCUCAAGUGUUUAGGGAGCUUCUUCACCUAUGUUGAAGUGAAUAGAAAAUAGAGAGGAAACCAAAGUCAAGGGAUGAAAGAGAAAGAUAAGAAUCAUUUUAAGUGCUUCUCAAAAUGGGUGUACUUAAUGGUAGCCACUGCGGUUUCUUUCCAUAAAUACUUUCUCUACGGUUGUAUCAAGUUUGGAUUGGGGGAUGAAGGUGUUAACCUUUUAAAUGAGAUUUCCUUUCAGUCUUUCCAAUACCACCCUGCUCUGUGCUGCUGGCAGGGAGGCAAAUAAAAUUAAGAGCUGCUAUAAAGUCACUGGUCUGUGCCUCUCCACUGUGACAUUGUAGGUGUCAGUGGAUGCAGUUUUAUAUACAGGGGAGAGGAGAAAGUAAGGACACAAUAAGGACACAAGGGCACCCAGGUCUUUGUCUAUGUUGGCUCGGCUCCAUCGAGGCGAUCUGUCCCCACAGCUGUGCCCUGCCUCUCUCCCUGUCCCCUGUGUUCCCUCCCCCCGCACCCUCUGGGACUUUGGCAGGCCUGGAUAGGAACAGAUCUUCCAUCUUUUCCCAAUGGACUCUUAUGGCAUCCUUAAAAAGAGUGGCAUAUGCCUGGGCACACGCAUUGUAUUAUGUAAAAACAACUUUCAGGCACAAACAAGUAAGAUUCUAAUAUUGUUUGUUUUAAACAUGAUAAAAAAAUAUUGACUUAUGCAAAGCCUGGGAAUGUAUUCCUGCAGGUGCUGCAUUUAGUUACCCCCCUUUUUGGAAUGGACACACACUUGAAUAUAUAGAAAAAGGGACAAACAUAUAGGAGGACAGAGCUGUCAGGCACCUUUCAAACAGACAAAGGACACAUUGGCAGCACACUGACACCCUCCAAUCUCAGCUGAUAAUCGAAAAGCAUUGUGUAGAGGCAAGAAAACACCUCUUGUGUCCUAUGAAUCUUGCUGCUAAUCGGACACCUGUGAUCUAUCUCUCUCUAGAGUCUUGCUCACAUCUGGCGUCCCGUUGUAGCUAUCCUGACUGCUCUUCCCCUCUAUCAGAAAAACGAUCACUCUCACAGUCCAGCAUGGAGAGGAAAUAAUUCAAGAUGCUAUAAUAUUGUUACAGUGUGUACAAUUGUGGAGAUGUGAUAAUAAAAUCUGUCAGAUAGGUU
Notolabrus celidotus (New Zealand spotty) is the source of this 2380-nucleotide long non-coding RNA. RefSeq lists it as uncharacterized. The record is from RefSeq and is a predicted model, not a curated record. The transcript has 2 exons. NCBI's taxonomy places the organism in Eukaryota, Metazoa, Chordata, Actinopteri, Labriformes, Labridae.